Felis catus (domestic cat) is the source of this 1655-nucleotide long non-coding RNA. RefSeq lists it as uncharacterized. The transcript is spliced from 3 exons. The record is from RefSeq and is a predicted model, not a curated record. NCBI's taxonomy places the organism in Eukaryota, Metazoa, Chordata, Mammalia, Carnivora, Felidae.
AGCCGGCCUGCAGAGGGAGGAUGAGUCUCGGAGUGUUGGAGUGGAGAAGCCAGGCAAGCAACACUGUGCCUCAGGCGGAGAAUGGGACGGUGGGAGAGGCUGGAGGACGGCUGGCAGGAAGCCUGGCCCCGGUGGCACGGAUCCGCAGUCCCGGCCGCAGCUGGAGGUGCCCGGGAGACUGUGGGCGGCCGUUGCCGCGUCUGUGACGUGACUUCCCCAAACGGUGACGUUCCCAACAGAGCAAAGCCUCUUACCCUCAGGUCUGACCCCAGGCUCUUUGCAAAGCCGCCCUCCCGUAAGUGAGCUCCGAUGGGACGCAGCCCUUCCCACGGCCCCCAGGACACAGCCAGGCCAUCGCGCUUCGAGGAGCAGCCAGCCUGCGCCCUCAACCCUGCCCCGUCCCGCCCCGCUGACCGGUUGCCCUGCCCCGAGUUUCCGGGGUCAGAUCCCUGCACAGGCUGGAGAGGUAAAGGAGGCACGGGGUCCGGGGCCUGUCCCCGGUGAGUGUUGCAUAUGUCCCGUUGUCGGUACGAAUUUCCUCCCUUCAAGGAAUUUUGUUUUAUUGAGAUGGAAUUCACACGCGAUGGACGGAACGAGUUUAAAGUGCGCAGUCCAGCGGCAUUUAGCGCGGUCACGGUGCGGCACAGCUAAGCACCUCUUUACCCGGUUCCGAAACCUCUUCAUCCACCCCAGGAGGAGCCCCGGCCCCGAGCCCGAGCCCCAGCCGCCGCCAACCUGCCUCUUGCCUCUGCGUAAAAGGGACCCGACACCACGCGACCUUUCCCGUCUGCCUUCGCUCACGCGACAGGACGCGUCGGGGGCUCCCCGUGCUGUGGCAUACGCCUUUUCCCGCUUCUUCUCUUGGGGGCCGUGCGGGUGGAGCCAGGAUUCUGGACGCGGCUCCUGCGUCUUGCCCGCCCCCGGGCUCCCCGUCCCGUCUCCGCCUCCUCCAUGAAGCCUUCAAAGGGCGGCCCCUCUGGCCCGUCUGCCCGGGUGAGGACCUCAGCCUCGGCCUCUGAGCGUGAGCACCUCCCAGGCAGUGAGCUCAUGUUGCCCUUCUCCGUGGGUCCUCCGGGCGGUGUGCACAGUGGGCACUUUAUAAGUGGCCAGGUUGUGACUCUCGACGGGCCCCUCCCGGUUGCGGCCGACCCCAGGACGUGGCUGCGGCCCGGGGCAGACCAGGACCAGCGGUCACCGGAGGGGCCCCGAUGCCUCGCAGCGGUGGGCCAGGCGGCUUAUUCAACCUCAACCUCUUUCUGACUUCAAGGAAAACCACGUGCUUGGAAACUGAGAUGUUGCCGGGAGAGCCCGAAUGUCUUCCCUCUCUUCUGGAGAAACAGAUGAUUAUUUUCCUUUCCUUUCCGUCUCCCCCCACCGCCCCAUAGCCGAGCAGAUGUUAACUCUCCAAUAAAUGGAAGGGAAAGAAAGAAAAAAAGACGAGAGACAUUUAGCAAACUAUAGCUGUGCAGGCCAGAGUUAUCACUCUGAUUUCAACUGGGACUAUAAAAUUUUAUGAGCUAUUAAAUUGUCCUAAAGCUCCUUUAACAUACAAACUCGAGUGUCUGAGAUUACCCAUUAAGAAAAAGUGGGUUACAUCGGGAGAACUUUUACUAUUUCCACUCGAUUGUGUUCAAUCAAUAAAACUUCUAACUAGC